Molecule: long non-coding RNA, 1906 nt
Filed under: Sus scrofa (pig)
Lineage: Eukaryota; Metazoa; Chordata; Mammalia; Artiodactyla; Suidae
Description: lncRNA (ENSSSCG00055017184.1)
Source: RNAcentral
AAGAGUGUUCCAGGCAGAGGGAGUGGCAGGCACCAAGGUUCUGAGAAAGGAUCUUGCCUGGAGCAUGGAUGGAGCCAGGGUGGCUGGAAUGGAGGAAGCCCUGGAGAGAAGAGUAGAAAUGUGGUUUUGGAAGCUUAAUAAGGGCCAGACGAGUAAGGCAUCACUGAGUCUUCAGCCUGCUUUUUGAGAACAAUGGUGGUGGAGCAAGAGAGGAAGCCGAGAGACCAGUAAGGAGGCUCUUUCAAUAAUCCUGGUGAGAGAUCGGGGAGAUUGAGGUGGUGACCGGUGCAGAUUCUGGAUCUCUUUGGAAGGUGGAGACAGCGUGAUUUGCUGACUGGAUUGGAUACAGGGCAGAGCGAAAAGAGUCAACUUCUGACUGUCAAUUUUCUUUAUUUAAGCUUUACAUGGGGAACUGGGGAACUGGGGAACGUGACCGAGUUUGCAUACUGUAGUGUACCAGUAUGGAAGAGCCCUGCAGGGCACAGCACAGCUAUGAGACAAAAAGCCCCUGCAAUGUCACAUGAGGGCUUCGAUGCUAGCACUGGAUUCCCCUCCAGGCUCUCGGCAGAAAGUGAUCUUCCUUCCUCUCCCAGACCCGUGGGAGUCAGGGGCCCCAGGGGUCUGAGCCAACCAGGAUCACUCAGAGGAGAACAGUGCUCUUGGUGACAUUCAGGUCGCAUUUGUCAGAAGGUUCCCACACAUACCCAGGGAAUCUGGAAGAUUAACAGUGAAAAAUGACCUCUUUGAACAGGUGCACACUUCUGGGUAAGUGAAACUCAGCCGAGCGUGGAAUUAUUUUAACAUGGAAAUAAGUUGCGGACAUUCAGAACCGUCACUCUUUUGACCACACAGGAAUCAGACACAUGGUCAAUACUGCAGAGUUUCUCAGGACUGGAAACGGAUGUGUUGGUUGGAUUUUUCCAGAGAAAGCUACACUAUCACAGUGAAAUAAACACCGAUGUCUACCAUAUGACCAUUCAUGUUCAAGUCCCUUCUCCAAAGCAUGUCCCUUUCUUUCCGAAGAACAGAAUAACAAAAUUUCAAGUUAAGAAAUCUGUUCAGGGAAGAUCCUCCAUCACACCAAAUAACAGCAAGUGAAGUAAAUCCACAAUUCUCAGCACCGUGCUUUUGAAAGAUGCCAUGGUCCAGGGAAAAGAGCCCUGGUCAGGUCAGAAGGGGUGGUUCAACACUUGUGGGAAGCCUGCCCAAAGCAGGAUGCUGAACCGCUUGCUCUGUGCCUUGACUUUCUCCUGCGAAAUGCAUAUCCUGGGCCUGGCUGCAGCCCACCUCCUUGCAGAAGGACAAAUUUUCUGUUAAAUGAGGGACACUGUAAAUAUAAAACACUGUCUUCCUGCCAGUGGAUCCGUCACUGCCAUGAACAUGAUUUGAAGUUGUACGUGUCAGAGGGCAGAAUAGCACCAGAGGAACUAUUAAGGUCCAGGGAUAUCUCCAGGAGAAAAUGCUUUUUUUCAGGGUGAGAGCUGUUCUUUUUCUGAGACUUGACUUUCCCAGGAAUCUGUUCAGGGAAUUUGGGGACAGCAAACAUCAGAGUAGUCACAGGGUCAACUUAUCAAUUUCUGCAAGGAAUCCAGCUAGAAUUUUGAUGGAGUGAAUUGACUCUGCAGAUCUGUUGGGGGAAUAUGGUCAUCUUAAAAAUAUUAAAUCUUCUGGUCCAUGAACAUGGGAUAUUUUUCCAUUUAUUUAGAUCUUAGUCUCUUUCAACAAGAUUUUUCAAUAAUUUUCAAAGUAUAAAUUUUGCAUUUCUUUUGUUAAAUGUAUUCCUUACUAUCUUAUUAUUUUUGAUAUUGUAAAUUAAUUUUCAUAAUUUCAUUUUACUGAACUCAUGCAUUAUUUAUAAACUUUUAGUGGAUUAAGUUAUUUUCUCUAAAUAAAACCAUGUCAUCUG